AGGGUUAACGCUGGCGGUGCGCAUAACACAUGCAAGUCGAGCGAGGGCUUAUUUCUCGCAAGAGAGAUAAGUUCCUAGCGGCGAACGGGUGAGUAACACGUGGGCAACCUUUCCUAUCGCGGGGGAUAACAGCGGGAAACCGCUGCUAAUACCGCAUGUCGUCACCGGCUAAUGGCUGGUGAAGAAAGCAGCAAUGCACGAUGGGGUGGCCCGCGGCCUAUCAGCUAGUCGGUGGGGUAACGGCCUACCGAGGCGAUGACGGGUAGCUGGUCUGAGAGGACGACCAGCCACACGGGGGACUGAGACACGGCCCCGACUCCUACGGGAGGCAGCAGUGAGGAAUCUUCCGCAAUGGGCGAAAGCCUGACGGAGCGACACCGCGUGUGGGAUGAAGUCCUUCGGGAUGUAAACCACUGUCGGAGGGGAAGACAUCGACGGUACCCUCCAAGAAAGCCCCGGCUAACUACGUGCCAGCAGCCGC
Molecule: ribosomal RNA, 481 nt
Filed under: uncultured bacterium
Lineage: Bacteria
Description: SSU rRNA
Rfam family: Bacterial small subunit ribosomal RNA
Source: RNAcentral